Molecule: long non-coding RNA, 990 nt
Filed under: Lactuca sativa (garden lettuce)
Lineage: Eukaryota; Viridiplantae; Streptophyta; Magnoliopsida; Asterales; Asteraceae
Description: long non-coding RNA (LSAT_LNC006429)
Source: RNAcentral
GCGAAACAGAUGAAAGAAGACGGCGAGAGGGAAGCACGAAGGCUCGCAGGCGGCACGGUCGAUCGAUCACGAGAAGAAGGCCGUCUCCGGGGGACGACGAGGCCGAAGAAUGAAGGGAGAAGCAGCAAGGCUGCUUUUGUUCUCGUCCGUCUGCGAGGUGCGAAGGAAAAACUGUCCGAUGGGAGUCCGGUAACGCGUCGCGAGCAGCAGCAGGGACGAAGACGAGAUCCUCGCAGGUCGUUGGUCGACAGGAAGAAGAAAGAGAGAGCGAGGGAGAAGAGGGGUUCGGUAGAACAAGGCACGCAGGUGGGGGCUUCGGUGGUGUUUGCUCGAUGAAAGAAGAAGAGAAGGAUGCGAAAUUGAGUUUCAGAUGGAGGGAAUCGAAAGGAGCAGCCUGGCUUAAGACGAAAUCUGCGAAGGAGUGGAAGUGAAGGUCGAUCUGAGUUAGAAAACAACGAAGGCUAAAGGUGGCGAUGGUGGGAGGCUGCCAUGAAGUCGAUGGAGGUUUUGCGCCGGCGGUUGCAGGUGAGUGGAUGGGGGCUGCUCCGGCAGCCUCCCUGUUGCUUCCGUUUUCUUUAUUGAUUAUUAUUUUUUUUUUCUUCUGUUUUGACUGAAAUCAGUGGAAUUUUUUGUGGGUUUUUGGGUUUGAUUUUUUACAGGAGGAAAAAGGAAGACAUCAGUGGGUUUUUUUUGGCUUUGUUGUGAUCGACAGGAAGGAGGGAAAAGAAAUGAGGCCGUUCUUAUUGUUUGCAGGUACUCACGAGAACAAGAACAAAAAGGUUCUUGACUGGAAACGAAGACGCAGGCAGAAAAUAAAGAAAAGAUAAAUCUUCAGUUUAAGAUUUCAAUUGUUGUUGGUUGUUUGUGGAUCAAACAUUUGUGAUCAGUUGUUGAUUUUUAACAAUGUGGGGGUUGUGUUUGAGUGGGGUAUUGGACUAUUGGUUGAAGGAAGAGUGGAAGAAAGCUUGAGAAAUGACAACACAUUUCUUU